Hippocampus comes (tiger tail seahorse) is the source of this 1036-nucleotide long non-coding RNA. RefSeq lists it as uncharacterized. NCBI's taxonomy places the organism in Eukaryota, Metazoa, Chordata, Actinopteri, Syngnathiformes, Syngnathidae. The transcript has 2 exons. The record is from RefSeq and is a predicted model, not a curated record.
CACACACACACACACACACACACACACACACACACGAACAUUCCCCAGUUGUGAAGUCAUCCACCAGAGCUUUGUUCAGCGUCUGCUGUACUGUAUGUUCUUUUAUGUGCUCCCGCUCUUUUUUUUUUCCACGAUCCCCUUCAGUCUGUGAUGAGGUUGUGCAAUUUUGCAAUUGAAACUGUGAUUUUGAAGAUAACUGUAGAACAGUGCAAUUAUUAAUUUGUGAUUUAAUCCCCAGUGCUGUUGUACCUUAAUGCUCAUCGUCAACUUUUUGUUUUACGCGUUGCUGUGAAUGGAUGGAGGGAGGGAUGUUUUGACAGAAGGAGGAAAAUAAUACAAUUCAUGAUUACAGCUGUCUUUCUCAAAGAGGAUCCUCCCACUCCCAUGCGCAGUUCAGAAUUUUUUUCAUGCUCCUCCACACCCUUUGUCCUCUUUGCGAGGGAGGCAAGCUUGUCCCGUGUGACGCAACGCUGGUAAAUGCCUCCGCUGCGCGUGUCAAACAUCUAUUUUGCAAGUGUUUAUUAAACACAUCAAAGUCUCCCUUUCUCCGUUGCCCUCUGGAGCAUCUUCAAGGACUUCAUGUGGCAUACUUUCCACUCCAGUUGUGAUGUCAUGUACCGUUCCAGGCAUUUGUGCUUCCGAAGGUCGUGAUCGCGCAACAUACGCUCCAGGGUCACAUUGGAAGCACCAUUUUAGGAGCUCCUCCCACAGAAGUAUUUAACAACAGCCUUCUGCCUUGCAAAUGAACUUUGGUGACUUAAGGGAAUCAUGAAAAAAACUGCGUAAAUUUCCUCUUGAUCAUCCUCAAGAAUGUCUGACUUCAUUUUGUCUAGACCAUGCCUCUUUAUUACAUUUUUCUUAAAAUCAGCAUCUUGAUUCCCAUUCUUUCAGUUUGACUUUGGUGCACUUUGCUUCUGUGUUGCGCAAUCCUCGAAGGAAAUGCAGUACUGUACACACCAACAGACGUGUUUUCCCUGUGGGUUAUCACAAUGCACCAUGAAAUAAAAUGGGUUGUCCAAAUGAGGCUACAAAUGCA